This 253-nucleotide ribosomal RNA is filed under the name uncultured bacterium. RNAcentral describes it as "partial 16S ribosomal RNA". It matches the Rfam family "Bacterial small subunit ribosomal RNA", at positions 524 to 776 of the family's 1533-position model. The record is from RNAcentral.
UACAGAGGUCUCAAGCGUUGUUCUGAUUCAUUGGGCGUAAAGGGUGCGUAGGUUGCGCGCUAAGUCAGGUGUGAAAUCUCGGGGCUUAACUCCGAAACUGCAUUUGAUACUGGCGUGCUUGAGGACUGGAGAGGAGACUGGAAUUUACGGUGUAGCAGUGAAAUGCGUAGAGAUCGUAAGGAAGACCAGUGGCGAAGGCGGGUCUCUGGACAGUUCCUGACACUGAGGCACGAAGGCCAGGGGAGCAAACGGG